CCUACGGGUGGCAGCAGUGGGGAAUAUUGCACAAUGGGCGCAAGCCUGAUGCAGCCAUGCCGCGUGUGUGAAGAAGGCCUUCGGGUUGUAAAGCACUUUCAGCGGGGAGGAAGGCGGUGAGGUUAAUAACCUCAUCGAUUGGCGUUACCCGCAGAAGAAGCACCGGCUAACUCCGUGCCAGCAGCCGCGGUAAUACGGAGGGUGCAAGCGUUAAUCGGAAUUACUGGGCGUAAAGCGCACGCAGGCGGUCUGUCAAGUCGGAUGUGAAAUCCCCGGGCUCAACCUGGGAACUGCGUUCGAAACUGGCAGGCUAGAGUCUUGUAGAGGGGGGUAGAAUUCCAGGUGUAGCGGUGAAAUGCGUAGAGAUCUGGAGGAAUACCGGUGGCGAAGGCGGCCCCCUGGACAAAGACUGACGCUCAGGUGCGAAAGCGUGGGGAGCAAACAGGAUUAGAUACCCCUGUAGUC
Molecule: ribosomal RNA, 465 nt
Filed under: uncultured Klebsiella sp.
Lineage: Bacteria; Pseudomonadati; Pseudomonadota; Gammaproteobacteria; Enterobacterales; Enterobacteriaceae
Description: bacterial SSU rRNA
Rfam family: Bacterial small subunit ribosomal RNA
Source: RNAcentral